Molecule: ribosomal RNA, 1468 nt
Filed under: metagenome
Description: bacterial SSU rRNA
Rfam family: Bacterial small subunit ribosomal RNA
Source: RNAcentral
AGAGUUUGAUCCUGGUUCAGGAUGAACGCUAGCGGCAGGCCUAAUACAUGCAAGUCGAACGGUGUAGCAAUACAUAGUGGCGGACGGGUGCGGAACACGUAUACAACUUACCCACGAGUGGGGGAUACCUAUUGGAAACGAUAGUUAAUCCCGCAUAAUACAGUAAAUACAUAGGUAUUAAUUGUCAAAGGAUUUAUUCGCUUGUGGAUGGGUAUGCGUCUGAUUAGUUAGCUGGCAGGGUAACGGCCUACCAAGACGAUGAUCAGUAACUGGUCUGAGAGGAUGAUCAGUCACACGGGCACUGAGACACAGGCCCGACUCCUACGGGAGGCAGCAGUAGGGAAUAUUGGGCAAUGGGCGCAAGCCUGACCCAGCCAUGCCGCGUGAAGGCAGAAGGCGCUUCGCGUUGUAAACUUCUUUUGUCGGAGAAUAAGGUUCCCAUAACUUGGGAAAUUGAAUGUAUCUGACGAAUAAGCACCGGCAAACUACGUGCCAGCAGCCGCGGUAAUACGUAGGGUGCAAGCGCUGUCCGGAUUUACUGGGUUUAAAGGGUGCGUAGGCGGUUUAAUAAGUCGGUGAUGAAAUGCAGGAGCUUAACUCUAUGCGCUGUUACCGAUACUGUUAGACUUGAGGAUGUUCGAGGUAGCUGGAAUGAGUGGUGUAGCGGUGAAAUGCGUAGAGAUCACUCAGAACACCAAUUGCGAAGGCAGGUUACUAGGACAUAUCUGACGCUGAGGCACGAAAGCGUGGGGAUCAAACAGGAUUAGAUACCCUGGUAGUCCACGCUGUAAACGAUGGAUACUCGUUAUUGGGGUUUCGGCUUCAGUGACUAAGCAAAAGUGAUAAGUAUCCCACCUGGGGAGUACGCUCGCAAGGGUGAAACUCAAAGGAAUUGACGGGGGCCCGCACAAGCGGUGGAGCAUGUGGUUUAACUCGAUGGUACGCGAGGAACCUUACCUAGACUCGAAUGGUGUAUGAACGUCUCAGAAAUGGGAUUUCCAGCAAUGGUAUAUAUCAAGGUGCUGCAUGGUUGUCGUCAGCUCGUGCCGUGAGGUGUUGGGUUAAGUCCCGCAACGAGCGCAACCCCUGUCGGUAGUUGCUAACAUUAAGUUGAGGACUCUACUGAGACCGCCCUCGUAAGGGGAAGGAAGGGGGGGACGACGUCAAAUCAUCAUGGCCCUUACGUCUAGGGCUACACACGUGCUACAAUGGUCGGUACAGAGGGUCGCUACACAGUGAUGUGAUGCUAAUCUCAAAAAGCCGAUCUCAGUUCGGAUUGGAGUCUGCAACUCGACUCCAUGAAGUUGGAAUCGCUAGUAAUCGCAUAUCAGCCAUGAUGCGGUGAAUACGUUCCCGGGCCUUGUACACACCGCCCGUCAAGCCAUGGAAGCUGAGGGCGCCUAAAGUAGGAGGUUCAAAUCUCUUCCUAGGGCGAAAUCGGUAACCAGGGCUAAGUCGGAACAAGGUA